UACAAUUCAAGAUGAGAUGUGGGCGGGG
This 28-nucleotide non-coding RNA is filed under the name Homo sapiens (human). Lineage: Eukaryota; Metazoa; Chordata; Mammalia; Primates; Hominidae. The record is from RNAcentral.